GGAUUCCUAGCUCAGUUGGAUAGAGCACUGCCCUCCGACGGCAGAGGCCGGGGGUUCGAGUCCCCCGGAGUCCGCCA
Molecule: transfer RNA, 77 nt
Filed under: Agrobacterium rubi
Lineage: Bacteria; Pseudomonadati; Pseudomonadota; Alphaproteobacteria; Hyphomicrobiales; Rhizobiaceae
Description: tRNA-Arg
Rfam family: tRNA
About the family: Transfer RNA (tRNA) molecules are approximately 80 nucleotides in length. Their secondary structure includes four short double-helical elements and three loops (D, anti-codon, and T loops). Further hydrogen bonds mediate the characteristic L-shaped molecular structure. tRNAs have two regions of fundamental functional importance: the anti-codon, which is responsible for specific mRNA codon recognition, and the 3' end, to which the tRNAs corresponding amino acid is attached (by aminoacyl-tRNA synthetases). tRNAs cope with the degeneracy of the genetic code in two manners: having more than one tRNA (with a specific anti-codon) for a particular amino acid; and 'wobble' base-pairing, i.e. permitting non-standard base-pairing at the 3rd anti-codon position.
Source: RNAcentral